Molecule: transfer RNA, 83 nt
Filed under: Puniceicoccus vermicola
Lineage: Bacteria; Pseudomonadati; Verrucomicrobiota; Opitutia; Puniceicoccales; Puniceicoccaceae
Rfam family: tRNA
About the family: Transfer RNA (tRNA) molecules are approximately 80 nucleotides in length. Their secondary structure includes four short double-helical elements and three loops (D, anti-codon, and T loops).
Source: Rfam by way of RNAcentral
GCGAUCAUGGCGAAAUGGUAUACGCACCGGUCUAAGGAACCGUUGUCCGCAAGGACGUGUGGGUUCAAAUCCCACUGAUCAUG